RNAcentral lists this ribosomal RNA (128 nucleotides) under uncultured bacterium. Its description in RNAcentral is "partial 16S ribosomal RNA". It matches the Rfam family "Bacterial small subunit ribosomal RNA", at positions 378 to 523 of the family's 1533-position model. The record is from RNAcentral.
GAAGUCUGAUGCAGCAACCGCCGCGUGGAGGAUGACACGUUUCGGUGCGUAAACUCCUUUUAUAUAAGAAGAUAAUGACGGUUUAUAUGAAUAAGCACCGGCUAACUCCGUGCCAGCAGCCGCGGUAA